This 253-nucleotide ribosomal RNA is filed under the name uncultured bacterium. Its description in RNAcentral is "partial 16S ribosomal RNA". It matches the Rfam family "Bacterial small subunit ribosomal RNA", at positions 524 to 776 of the family's 1533-position model. The record is from RNAcentral.
UACGUAGGUGGCGAGCGUUGUCCGGAUUUACUGGGCGUAAAGGGAGCGUAGGCGGACUUUUAAGUGAGAUGUGAAAUACUCGGGCUCAACUUGAGUGCUGCAUUUCAAACUGGAAGUCUAGAGUGCAGGAGAGGAGAAUGGAAUUCCUAGUGUAGCGGUGAAAUGCGUAGAGAUUAGGAAGAACACCAGUGGCGAAGGCGAUUCUCUGGACUGUGACUGACGCUGAGGCUCGAAAGCGUGGGGAGCAAAUAGG